RNAcentral lists this ribosomal RNA (416 nucleotides) under uncultured prokaryote. RNAcentral's name for it is "bacterial SSU rRNA". It matches the Rfam family "Bacterial small subunit ribosomal RNA", at positions 505 to 918 of the family's 1533-position model. The record is from RNAcentral.
GUGUCAGCCGCCGCGGUAAAACGUAGGAUGCGAGCGUUAUCCGGAGUUACUGGGCGUAAAGCGCGGGCAGGCGGAGGGGCAAGUCGGACGUGAAAGCUCCCGGCUUAACCGGGAGAGGCCGUUCGAGACUGUCUCUCUGGAGGGCAGUAGAGGCGCGUGGAAUUCCGGGUGGAGCGGUGAAAUGCGCAGAGAUCCGGAGGAACACCAGAGGCGAAGGCGGCGCGCUGGGCUGACCCUGACGCUGAGCCGCGAAAGCGUGGGGAGCGAACGGGAUUAGAUACCCCGGUAGUCCUGGCUGUAAACGAUGGACGCUAGGUGUGGGGGGGGAUAAACUCCCUCCGUGCCGAAGCUAACGCGUUAAGCGUCCCGCCUGGGGACUACGGCCGCAAGGCUAAAACUUAAAGGAAUUGACGGGG